CUCCACUUCGCUCGCUACUGCGCAGACUCUGGUCCCGAGUUCUCUACUGCGCAGACUCCGGUCCCAAAUCAGCACAAUAUGGCCGCGCCCUGUUGGGACAAUGGUGGCUUCACAUUUCUUCAGUGGAAGAGAUUGAAGGCAAGGCGAAGCGCGUCUCAAACAAGCCUAGUAACCAACUGCAGAACCAUUACGUCACAACAGUCUGAGGCCACAGCGCCAGAUCAGUCUGACGUCGGAAGUGGGCGGAGUAACAGUCUCAUGUCGGAAGUAGGCGGAGUUUACGACAGAAACAAUAAUGGCGGAUAAGAACACGGUGAAAAGAUGUUUUUAUUUAAACAGGCAUAUUACGAUUCAGAGACGCUCAGCUUUACUUGGAAAAAGUUGUUGCAACAAAUUUCACUGCCCAGUGUUUUUAAAAGGACCAGAUGGCACAGGUUGAAUGCACACCUUCCAAUUCACUUCAGAAAGGCAGAUGUCCAUAGAGUAAAUUGACAAGCAGAAUCAUACCAAUUUCCAAUGGAAGCUGAUUGAAAAAGGGAAAGU
Sinocyclocheilus anshuiensis is the source of this 543-nucleotide long non-coding RNA. RefSeq lists it as uncharacterized. The record is from RefSeq and is a predicted model, not a curated record. NCBI's taxonomy places the organism in Eukaryota, Metazoa, Chordata, Actinopteri, Cypriniformes, Cyprinidae. The transcript is spliced from 4 exons.